AGGAAGUAAAAGUCGUAACAAGGUCUCCGUUGGUGAACCAGCGGAGGGAUCAUUACCGAGUUUACAACUCCCAAACCCAAUGUGAACGUUACCAAACUGUUGCCUCGGCGGGAUCUCUGCCCCGGGUGCGUCGCAGCCCCGGACCAAGGCGCCCGCCGGAGGACCAACCAAAACUCUUAUUGUAUACCCCCUCGCGGGUUUUUUUAUAAUCUGAGCCUUCUCGGCGCCUCUCGUAGGCGUUUCGAAAAUGAAUCAAAACUUUCAACAACGGAUCUCUUGGUUCUGGCAUCGAUGAAGAACGCAGCGAAAUGCGAUAAGUAAUGUGAAUUGCAGAAUUCAGUGAAUCAUCGAAUCUUUGAACGCACAUUGCGCCCGCCAGUAUUCUGGCGGGCAUGCCUGUCCGAGCGUCAUUUCAACCCUCGAACCCCUCCGGGGGGUCGGCGUUGGGGAUCGGCCCUGCCUUGGCGGUGGCCGUCUCCGAAAUACAGUGGCGGUCUCGCCGCAGCCUCUCCUGCGCAGUAGUUUGCACACUCGCAUCGGGAGCGCGGCGCGUCCACAGCCGUUAAACACCCAACUUCUGAAAUGUUGACCUCGGAUCAGGUAGGAAUACCCGCUGAACUUAAGCAUAUCAAU
Molecule: ribosomal RNA, 633 nt
Filed under: Trichoderma harzianum
Lineage: Eukaryota; Fungi; Ascomycota; Sordariomycetes; Hypocreales; Hypocreaceae
Description: eukaryotic LSU rRNA
Rfam family: 5.8S ribosomal RNA (bases 257-410)
Source: RNAcentral